Molecule: ribosomal RNA, 363 nt
Filed under: Triticum aestivum (bread wheat)
Lineage: Eukaryota; Viridiplantae; Streptophyta; Magnoliopsida; Poales; Poaceae
Description: partial small subunit ribosomal RNA
Source: RNAcentral
AUGACGCAGUCGCAGGCACGGGAGACACGGUACAACAUGGUGUCUCCCAUGGCAGUGAUGAUGCCCGUGCCGCUGUUGUCCCCCCGUGUUAGUCUGGAGCAACUCGCCACUCCUCCGGGAGCUGGCUUGGAGCGGCCAGUUGCUGAACCACGCACGGCUUGGAGCGGCAACUUGCUCCGUCCAGCUUGGAGGUGGAGCAGCGACCUCGUCACUCGUAUCCGACCGGCUCUGUGGGCCAUCCAGCCGGCUUUUAUGCCGGAGACCUAUUUUUCCUGCUCAUUGGAUGCCAUCAAAAGGGGGAAGAAAAUGGUGGAAGGAGGAGAGGGGAGCGGCGGAGUGGUGCAAUUCUUGCCCGACAUCUGA